CAGGUAUGGCAUAUCUGAAUGUGGAAUCCUCUUUACCUGAAUGUCUUAGAGCUACAGAAUGGGUAUGAACUUGGAACAAUUCCUGCCUCCCAGGUAAAAUAGUUCAUCUAAUGCAUAGGCAUACCAUGAAAUCUGCACGAACUGAAGAAGCUGGGAAGCUGGAAGGAAAUUUCUCUAAUCCAUAGCUAAAUUUCUCCUGAUGAAGGCAUUUCAGUACCCAUCACUGUAUUAUCUAGGCGCCACCAUAAAAUUAAGAAGCUCUGCAGUGACAUUCCCAACAUGAUGUGUUCAAAGGUCAUUAGCAGAACCUUUCAUACUGGAAAAGAUCGGAGGAGAGUAAAGAAGCAAGCAGCAGAGGGAGAGGAAAAGGAAAAGGAGGCAGUAAGGAGCUGGAGCCAUUUUAGCUGUGCUCAUCCAGUGCGGCUGAGCUGGUACUGAAGUGGAGGAGCCUCCUGUCAGCUCUCUUUAUCCUGAUACAAGGACGAUAGCACUUGUUACGCUAUUGUUACAUCAGAAAUUAUCUCGCGCGCCCUGCAGAUCGCUGCCUCGGUGCUUUCUUGGGAUUCUGUUGACAUGUCUGGUCUCUGUGACUUCUGUAUAUUAAACGGACCAGAGCAGGGCAUUUCUUUCUGGAUUUCCUAGCAGACAGCAAGCACUGCAUCUCAGAAAACCACCUUCUCCAAAUUAAUUUCUUAGUUAAAAUUUUAUUUUUAGCUUAGUGUGCAAAUCCUACAAGCUCGUUGGUGCUUGAAGAAACAAAAAUGAAGGUUGUUUUCGGUGUAUGCAAAGUCGCAUAGCACCUGCUGAAUCAGGAGGGCUGAUCUGAUCCCAGGAGGCCCACUCCUGCUUCCACUGAAGUCAGCUGCUGUAAUCUCGCCGCAGCGAGGGCAUGCCGAGGACAAUCUAGGACAUUUGCAUUAUGGAAAGGUGACACGGGCUGUACUGUGUUCACUGAUGCCGUUUGGUGCUAUCCUUUCAAGAUACACACUGGUAAGAGAAAAAUUUGCUGAAGUUCUUUUUUUCACUCCUGCAACUAUGAAGCCUUAUUCAGUCCUGAGGAGGCUAAUGGCAGGCCGCCGAAGAGUACUCACACAAACCCACUGGGGUCUUUUUUUACCCUUUUUGGUUUUAGAUUUACACUAGGGAGCAAAUAGGUGGCUCCAAAGUGAGAAGGAAAGAGCCAAAGUUGGAAGCUAACCACAAUACGUGGGUGUAAGCGAUUACCAAAGGCUUCCAGUAACUCUGCUAUCAUCAGAGACUGGCUUUAUGGGUAUGGCCUCAAGAAGUUUCCCUCCAGUUAAUUAAAGAGGCAGAUAAGUAUCUAGGUGGAGUGUGCAGAUAGGUUCUGAAUGAGUUAUCCACUGAGGCUGGUUCACUGCACCUAUUGUUAAAGCCAAAAUAUAAUAUCAGAUUAAUGCAUUAUAUUUGCCUAUUAUAGCACUAUGUCAUCAUUAUAUGACAUGUUAUAAUUAAAGCCCUGCGUUGGAAACAAAACUAUUUGGCUUGGGAUAAGUUGCCUUUAUGACUUCUGUGGUUAUGAUUUCCUCCUUUUCUUAACCCCUUAAAACUGCAUAAUAUAGCUAUUUGUAACUGUAUAAAGAAAGUUUCUAGUCUCAGAUGGUAAUCUCAGUUAAUUCAAUUUAAAUAAAGUCAAA
Non-coding RNA from Struthio camelus australis, 1655 nucleotides. Lineage: Eukaryota; Metazoa; Chordata; Aves; Struthioniformes; Struthionidae. The record is from RefSeq and is a predicted model, not a curated record.